Molecule: ribosomal RNA, 497 nt
Filed under: uncultured bacterium
Lineage: Bacteria
Description: partial 16S ribosomal RNA
Rfam family: Bacterial small subunit ribosomal RNA
Source: RNAcentral
GAUGAACGCUGGCGGCGUGCCUAAUACAUGCAAGUCGAGCGAACAGACGAGGAGCUUGCUCCUCUGACGUUAGCGGCGGACGGGUGAGUAACACGUGGAUAACCUACCUAUAAGACUGGGAUAACUUCGGGAAACCGGAGCUAAUACCGGAUAACAUGUUGAACCGCAUGGUUCAACAGUGAAAGACGGUUUUGCUGUCACUUAUAGAUGGAUCCGCGCCGCAUUAGCUAGUUGGUAAGGUAACGGCUUACCAAGGCAACGAUGCGUAGCCGACCUGAGAGGGUGAUCGGCCACACUGGAACUGAGACACGGUCCUGACUCCUACGGGAGGCAGCAGUAGGGAAUCUUCCGCAAUGGGCGAAAGCCUGACGGAGCAACGCCGCGUGAGUGAAGAAGGUCUUCGGAUCGUAAAACUCUGUUAUUAGGGAAGAACAAAUGUGUAAGUAACUAUGCACGUCUUGACGGUACCUAAUCAGAAAGCCACGGCUAACUACGUG